CUUGGUUUUUUUUUUAAAAAAACUCUUUUAGGGUUGGUCGCAGAUGAUCGUGCGGCAGUCCUACACAUGCAAGUCGAGCGGAUGAAGGAGCUUACUCCUGAUUAGCGGCGGACGGUGAGUAAUGCCUAGGAAUCUGCCUGGUAGUGGGGAUAACGUUCCGAAAGGAACGCUAAUACCGCGUACGUCCUACGGAGAAAGCAGGGGACCUUCGGGCCUUGCGCUAUCAGAUGAGCCUAGGUCGGAUUAGCUAGUUGGUGAGGUAAUGUCUCACCAAGGCGACGAUCCGUAACUGGUCUGAGAGGAUGAUCAGUCACACUGGAACUGAGACACGGUCCAGACUCCUACGGGAGGCAGCAGUGGGGAAUAUUGGACAAUGGGCGAAAGCCUGAUCCAGCCAUGCCGCGUGUGUGAAGAAGGUCUUCGGAUUGUAAAGCACUUUAAGUUGGGAGGAAGGGCUGCUGGUUAAUACCCUGCAGUUUUGACGUUACCAACAGAAUAAGCACCGGCUAACUUCGUGCCAGCAGCCGCGGUAAUACGAAGGGUGCAAGCGUUAAUCGGAAUUACUGGGCGUAAAGCGCGCGUAGGUGGUUCGUUAAUUUGGAUGUGAAAGCCCCGGGCUCAACCUGGGAACUGCAUCCAAAACUGGCGAGCUAGAGUACGGUAGAGGGUGGUGGAAUUUCCUGUGUAGCGGUGAAAUGCGUAGAUAUAGGAAGGAACACCAGUGGCGAAGGCGACCUCCUGGACUGAUACUGACACUGAGGUGCGAAAGCGUGGGGAGCAACCAGGAUUAGAUACCCUGGUAGUCCACCCCGUAAACGAUGUCAACUAGCCGUUGGAAUCCUUGAGCAUUUUAGUGGCGCAGCUAACGCAUUAACUGACCGCCUGGAGACGCGACUUGU
This 899-nucleotide ribosomal RNA is filed under the name Ectopseudomonas mendocina. RNAcentral describes it as "bacterial SSU rRNA". It matches the Rfam family "Bacterial small subunit ribosomal RNA", at positions 1 to 889 of the family's 1533-position model. The record is from RNAcentral. Lineage: Bacteria; Pseudomonadati; Pseudomonadota; Gammaproteobacteria; Pseudomonadales; Pseudomonadaceae.